RNAcentral lists this ribosomal RNA (1947 nucleotides) under uncultured bacterium. Its description in RNAcentral is "partial 23S ribosomal RNA". It matches the Rfam family "Bacterial large subunit ribosomal RNA", at positions 111 to 1886 of the family's 2925-position model. The record is from RNAcentral.
UGUCCGAAUGGGGAAACCCAGAUGGACUCGAUCCAGUUAUUUCUACCUGAAUAUAUAGGGUAGAUAAAGGGAACGUGGGGAAGUGAAACAUCUCAGUACCCACAGGAAGAGAAAGCAAAAGCGAUUCCGUUAGUAGUGGCGAGCGAACGCGGAAGAGGCCAAACCGAACAUGUGUGAUAGCCGGUAGGCGUUGCAUGUUCGGGGUUGCGGGACCUUUCAGCAGAUCUACCGAUCUGCAGCAGUAGAAAGCAAUAUAGACGAAUGUUCUUGAAAGUUCAGUCAUAGAGGGUGCGAACCCCGUAGUCGAAAUGUUGUGGACACUGGAGAGGGAUCCCAAGUAGUACGGAACCCGUGAAAUUCUGUGCGAAUCUGUGAGGACCACCUCAUAAGCCUAAAUACUACCUACUGACCGAUAGCGGACAAGUACCGUGAGGGAAAGGUGAAAAGUACCCCGGGAGGGGAGUGAAAUAGUACCUGAAACCGUGUGCUUACAAACCGUUGGAGCCAGCUUGUACUGGUGACAGCGUGCCUUUUGAAGAAUGAGCCUGAGAGUUAGUGAUAUGUGGCGAGGUUAACCCGUGUGGGGAAGCCGUAGCGAAAGCGAGUCUGAAUAGGGCGAUUCAGUCGCAUGUCCUAGACCCGAAGCGAAGUGAUCUAUCCAUGGUCAGGUUGAAGCGCCGGUAAGACGGCGUGGAGGACCGAACCCACUUCAGUUGAAAAUGGAGGGGAUGAACUGUGGAUCGGGGUGAGAGGCCAAUCAAACUUCGUGAUAGCUGGUUCUCUCCGAAAUGCAUUUAGGUGCAGCGUCGCGUGUUUCUUACUGGAGGUAGAGCUACUGGAUAGCCGAUGGGCCCUACAAGGUUACUGACGUUAGCCAAACUCCGAAUGCCAGUAAGUUAGAGCGCGGCAGUGAGUCUACGGGGGAUAAGCUUCGUGGACAAAAGGGAAACAACCCAGACUACCAAUUAAGGUCCCAAAGCGUGUGCUAAGCGGAAAAGGAUGUGAAGUUGCAUAGACAACCAGGAGGUUGGCUUAGAAGCAGCCACCCUUGAAAGAGUGCGUAAUAGCUCACUGGUCAAGUGACUUUGCGCCGACAAGGUAACGGGGCCCAAGCACACCACCGAAAUUGUAGAAUUGACACCAUUGCCUGCCGUAAGGCCAGGCGUGUUGAUUGGUAGGAGAGCGUCGUGUGGCGAGCGAAGCGGCGGAGGAAUCCAGCCGUGGAUGCCACACGAGUGAGAAUUCAGGCAUGAGUAGCGAAUGACGGGUGAGAAACCCGUCCUCCGGAAGACCAAGGGUUCCAGGGCCAGGUUAAUCCGCCCUGGGUAAGUCGGGACCUAAGGCGAGGCCGACAGGCGUAGUCGAUGGACAACGGGUUGAUAUUCCCGUACCGGCGAAGAACCGCCCAAGCUAAUCCAGUAAUGCUAAGUAGCUGAAGCUGCAUUCGAUCCCUUCGGGGUGACUUUGUAGUGGAGCCUACGACCCUAUGCUGGUGCGGCUAGCGUAUUAACAGGUGUGACGCAGGAAGGUAGCCUCCGCGUGGUGAUGGUUAUCCACGUUUAAGGUUGUAGGGCGAGACAUAGGCAAAUCCGUGUCUCACAUAGCCUGAGAACUGAUGAUGAGUCCUAACGGACGAAGAGGGUGAUCCUAUGCUGCCAAGAAAAGCAUCGACGCGAGGUUCUAGCUGCCCGUACCCCAAACCGACUCAGGUGGUCAGGUAGAGAAUACUAAGGAGAUCGAGAGAAUCACGGUUAAGGAACUCGGCAAAAUACCCCCGUAACUUCGGGAGAAGGGGGGCCAGAGGUGUGUAGAGACUUGCUCUCGAAGCACUGUAUGGCCGCAGAGAAUAGUGGGAAGCGACUGUUUACUAAAAACACAGGUCCGUGCGAAGUUGCAAAACGAUGUAUACGGGCUGACGCCUGCCCGGUGCUGGAAGGUUAAGAGGAG